This 561-nucleotide ribosomal RNA is filed under the name uncultured Orbiliaceae. RNAcentral's name for it is "eukaryotic LSU rRNA". The stretch from base 289 to 561 matches the Rfam family "Eukaryotic large subunit ribosomal RNA", at positions 1 to 271 of the family's 3401-position model. The record is from RNAcentral. Lineage: Eukaryota; Fungi; Ascomycota; Orbiliomycetes; Orbiliales.
GCAGCGAAACGCGAUAGUUAAUGUGAAUUGCAGAAUUCAGUGAAUCAUCGAGUCUUUGAACGCACAUUGCGCCCAUUGGUAUUCCUUUGGGCAUGUCUGUUUGAGCGUCAUUACAACCCCUCAGCUAACGCUGGUUUUGAACCGGGACAGGUUGACACCCGCACCGGUUUUAAAGUUGUAAGCUCUGCUGGCUGCUCUGCCCCAACCGGAACAUAGUAAAAACUACUACUUGUUAAGGCGAGGCGAAGCGGUACGGCCUGAACAAAACCUACCCAUUUUUCUAAGGUUUGACCUCAGAUCAGACAAGGAUACCCGCUGAACUUAAGCAUAUCAAUAAGCGGAGGAAAAGAAACCAACAGGGAUUGCCUCAGUAACGGCGAGUGAAGCGGCAACAGCUCAAAUUUGAAAUCUGGAGCCUUUGGCUUCCGAGUUGUAAUUUGAAGAGGAUGUUUCGGUGCGGCCUGGGCCUAAGUUCCUUGGAACAGGACGUCAUGGAGGGUGAGAAUCCCGUACAUGGCUGCAGGCUUGCUUCUAUGUGAAACUCCUUCGAAGAGUCGAGUU